GGCCCAUUCCACGGUAAGAGUAAAGAAUAUUCGCCAAAAGCUUUGAAGCACCUGUAACUGAUAUCCUUCUCUUGUUGGCCAGCUCAUGGAGACGACACUUUAUGCCCAGAUUUCUGUGCCAGAAUUGGCAAUCUGCGGCACCUCCAGCCAUUGUGCCGAGCAUGUGUGGAUUUAUCUCGAUGAUUUUCUUGACAGACUGAGAUGAUAUAUAUCCACCCAUGCUAGCCCGCGAAUCGGCGGCGAUGAUGACGCCCUCCUUGAAGAUGAAUCCGAGCGUUGUCGUCCCCUUGGCGUGCUUAAGCAUCUUGGUCGCAUCCUUCUGGAAUCCAUCGAAGUCGCCGCAGACGGGGAGAUCGAACGAGGGGGGCGCAGAGUGGUCCAGAGAGAGAUCGUCGAAGGCGCCGCCGUGGAGGGGAGCGAAGGAUUCGAGGCCGCUGGUGUCGAGCUUCAUCGUGGAAGGAGAAACCCUAGCUAUGAC
This 478-nucleotide unclassified non-coding RNA is filed under the name Hevea brasiliensis (rubber tree). Lineage: Eukaryota; Viridiplantae; Streptophyta; Magnoliopsida; Malpighiales; Euphorbiaceae. The record is from RNAcentral.